RNAcentral lists this ribosomal RNA (506 nucleotides) under uncultured bacterium. Its description in RNAcentral is "bacterial SSU rRNA". It matches the Rfam family "Bacterial small subunit ribosomal RNA", at positions 17 to 518 of the family's 1533-position model. The record is from RNAcentral.
UCCUGGCUUAGGAUGAACGCUAGCGGCAGGCUUAACACAUGCAAGUCGAGGGGCAUCGGGAGUAGCAAUACUGCCGGCGACCGGCGCAAGGGUGCGUAACGCGUGAGCAACAUGCCCGUAUCAGGGGGAUAAUCCAUGGAAACGUGGUCUAAUACCCCAUAGUAAUUAUGUAAGGCAUCUUAUAUAAUUUAAAGCUUUGGUGGAUACGGAUUGGCUCGCGUGACAUUAGCUGGAUGGUAAGGUAACGGCUUACCAUGGCUACGAUGUCUAGGGGUUCUGAGAGGAAGGUCCCCCACACUGGAACUGAGACACGGUCCAGACUCCUACGGGAGGCAGCAGUGAGGAAUAUUGGACAAUGGAUGGAAAUCUGAUCCAGCCAUGCCGCGUGCAAGGAAGACGGCCCUAUGGGUUGUAAACUGCUUUUGUAUGGGAGCAAUAAGGGCUACGUGUAGUCCGAUGAGAGUACCAUACGAAUAAGCACCGGCUAACUCCGUGCCAGCCGCCGC